UACGAAGGGGGCUAGCGUUGCUCGGAAUCACUGGGCGUAAAGGGUGCGUAGGCGGGGCUUUAAGUCAGGGGUGAAAUCCUGGAGCUCAACUCCAGAACUGCCUUUGAUACUGAGGAUCUUGAGUUCGGGAGAGGUGAGUGGAACUGCGAGUGUAGAGGUGAAAUUCGUAGAUAUUCGCAAGAACACCAGUGGCGAAGGCGGCUCACUGGCCCGAUACUGACGCUGAGGCACGAAAGCGUGGGGAGCAAACGGG
RNAcentral lists this ribosomal RNA (253 nucleotides) under uncultured bacterium. RNAcentral's name for it is "partial 16S ribosomal RNA". It matches the Rfam family "Bacterial small subunit ribosomal RNA", at positions 524 to 776 of the family's 1533-position model. The record is from RNAcentral.